CGACGCGGGGCUCGAUCCCAGGACCCCGGGAGCGUGACCCGAGCCGAAGGCAGACGCUCAACGACUGAGCCCCCCUGGGCGCCCCUGGCCGCAGGGUCUUGCCCUUGGUUCAUGCUUCAAAGGAGGGAGGGUGGCCGCGCGCCCUGGCGCAGGCCGAACCCUCAUCCUGCGGGGGUUUCAGUUCGGAUAGUUAAACAUCUUAACCGGCUCUUUUCUGCUGGGGGCACGACGAUGUCAGAAGUCGUCCCCAGCGCCGGUCGUCGGGAUCGUGGCCCAGGAGACUGUCCCUGCGCCCAGCCAGCCCCCUGCCCCUGGCCGCCGCUGCUCCUGCCGGUCCACCUCUUUUCCAGCGCUUGAGCGCUCAGCUUUGAGACUGCUCGAGCUUUCGGCUCGUUUAGUAGAAAAAUCAGACCAGACGAGGAAACAGACUCAAAAAUUAAAAGCAACCGGGCUGAGAAGUGAUGGCACGGUCUCAGAGCUGUUCUGACUGGUUUCUGGGCCUGCACUCUCCCCCGUUAUUCCUUAGGUAUUAUAAAAGUAACGCGGCGUGUGAACCCUUCCCCUGCCUCACUGCUGAAACUAGGAAGGUGUAGGGACGGUUUUUAAGCUCAGUGUCCUGAUGACGGGUGCUCAGCCCUCCAGCAGCUGGUGCUUCUGCAGAGAGAGCACAAGUGGGCAGAGCGGCAGGCAGAGGGAGAGGG
Non-coding RNA from Callorhinus ursinus (northern fur seal), 701 nucleotides. NCBI's taxonomy places the organism in Eukaryota, Metazoa, Chordata, Mammalia, Carnivora, Otariidae. The record is from RefSeq and is a predicted model, not a curated record.